GGUACGCGAGGAAACGCAGAAGUGACGGCCGCGCGGAUAGUGGGGACAGUGGCGUGUGUGAAGCGCAAGCGUCGACAAAAGACUCAGAAGAGAGUCAGUCGUUCACGAACCACCGGCAACGAUGAACCGAAACAACAAUCAAGAAGGCAUUUUGAAUCCAGCGGGGAUUCGGGUGGAUCCGAACCAGCCACCACCUCCGGGCGUUGAGGCGCAACCUCAAUGUCCCGGAGGUGUAAGUGUGCGGCUGAGGCCCCCGGUCCCGCUAAAAUCCAGCAGCCGGGGGUGGCGUGGGGGGUCAACCCGAAUCCCCCACGUCCGGGAUACCAUUGGGGCAACGCGCCGCCCCAGUGGUAUGGAUGGCGGCAGGAGCCUCAACAGCCCCUAACGCCGAUUCCGGAACUCUACGGCGAGCGACAGGGUCUGUUGAUGGCGGCCGCUGUUCAGCCGCCACCGCCGCCACUCCAGCCCCCGAUGAUGCUGUUCCGCCGCCCUCUCCUGCUGCCUCUUCGGCGGCGAGGCCUGCUCGCGCGGCUAGCCCGACGCUAGAGGAACGGAUCACGGAGGCUGUCCGGGUGGCGGUGGCAGCCGCUAUGACCACCGGCGGUCCCGUUCCUCGAGGGGAAGGCAGCCGCCGAAACCGGCACCGCCGCCGUCGAGGAGGUGGUAGGGGAAACCGCAGGGCCGGGAGUGGGGGGCGCAACCA
Molecule: long non-coding RNA, 703 nt
Filed under: Neodiprion lecontei (redheaded pine sawfly)
Lineage: Eukaryota; Metazoa; Arthropoda; Insecta; Hymenoptera; Diprionidae
Description: uncharacterized LOC124292780
Source: RNAcentral